This is a long non-coding RNA of Phragmites australis (common reed), 918 nucleotides long. RefSeq lists it as uncharacterized. Lineage: Eukaryota; Viridiplantae; Streptophyta; Magnoliopsida; Poales; Poaceae. The record is from RefSeq and is a predicted model, not a curated record. The transcript has 2 exons.
CCCCCGAGGGUACAGAUCGGGUCGACCCACCCCCGCACCAGCAGCAGCGCCAGGAGGCGGAGGAGGCCAUGGCGAAGCCUGGAGCGGAAGCGAGGAUCUCGUAGCAGGAGGUGCCAUUGCUCGUGGAGGUGGUGGAGGGAUGGGGCCGCUGCGAGGAGAAACCGGGGAUGUUAGCACCUUCACCGGCCCCGGGAUUGAGCUCGGAAUGCCUCUGAAUAUGUUUGGCUUGGGCAUUGGUACUACUACUAAGAUUAUCAAUUAAUUUAUUGAUCUAUAUCACUUAGCGUUACUUGGUAUAAUUUGUCUUUCUUAAUAUGUGAUGAAUGCGGAGUUGGCCUUGGGCUAGGAUGGGGCUUCGGCAAUGCUUAGGGCUGUCAGUAUCGAUCUUUAAGAGUCCAGUUUUAGGGUAUUGAAUUUCAGAAGAAGGCUGAAGGCGAUGAGGCAACGAAGCUUGUUUCACCAGGGAGGGGGCCACGACGGGGAGCCCCUUUACCUGUUACCUGGGAACGAAAUAUAUUAUUGUGAUCUUCCUGAAAUCAAGGUUGUUCUAUUAGGAAACAGAUCAGAGAUCACAGCUUGGUAAUUAAUUAAUUGGCAGACAGAGACUGACAGACAGAUAGCACAAAUCAGCAAAAAAGUAAAAGCUUAUGUAGGUUCUCUAGCCUUCUACAAUUCAUGUAGGUUCUGCAUUAGUUCUACUACGUGGAUACUUGUGGAUUAGACACGUUACUUAUCUAUGACUGUUAAUCUGUGAUCUUGCUUGGUUACUUCUUGUUAAAGCACAAUUCUGGAGUACUGAUGCUCCUUAUUGGCAAUUGUAGUUGCAAAAUUACACAAUGUAAUGGAAAAAGGUCGCACUGCAGUUUUGUUAUGUUGAUGAAUUUCAUUUGGUGAAAUAAACUGAUUGUGCUCUGAUAA